Echinops telfairi (small Madagascar hedgehog) is the source of this 125-nucleotide small nuclear RNA. The record is from Ensembl. Lineage: Eukaryota; Metazoa; Chordata; Mammalia; Afrosoricida; Tenrecidae.
GCACUGAAGUGGCAGUGCCCACCCAGCUGGACAGUGCCCGUGCUAACAUUGGAGCCAUGCAGAGAAGGUUGGCGUGGCCCCUGCUCAAGGACGGCAGGCAAGUUGGAGAAACGUUCUGCAUGUCA